GCAAGUCGAACGAGAACGGAUAUUAGCUUGCUAAUAUUGUCAGCUAAGUGGCGCACGGGUGAGUAAUAUAUAGUUAACCUGCCCCAAAGAAGAGAAUAAUUGUUGGAAACGACUUGUAAUGCUCUAUAUGCCUUUAAGUCUUAAGACUGCAAGGGAAAUAUUUAUAGCUCUAGGAUCGGCCUGUACGGUAUCAGUUAGUUGGUGAGGUAAUGGCUCACCAAGACAAUGACACCUAACUGGUUUGAGAGGAUGAUC
This 255-nucleotide ribosomal RNA is filed under the name uncultured bacterium. RNAcentral's name for it is "partial 16S ribosomal RNA". It matches the Rfam family "Bacterial small subunit ribosomal RNA", at positions 57 to 305 of the family's 1533-position model. The record is from RNAcentral.